UCCGCUGUGGUGUAAUUGGCAGCACAGGGGCUUUUGGUGCCUCUUGUCCGGGUUCGAGUCCUGGCAGCGGAG
Molecule: transfer RNA, 72 nt
Filed under: Actinacidiphila oryziradicis
Lineage: Bacteria; Bacillati; Actinomycetota; Actinomycetes; Kitasatosporales; Streptomycetaceae
Rfam family: tRNA
About the family: Transfer RNA (tRNA) molecules are approximately 80 nucleotides in length. Their secondary structure includes four short double-helical elements and three loops (D, anti-codon, and T loops). Further hydrogen bonds mediate the characteristic L-shaped molecular structure. tRNAs have two regions of fundamental functional importance: the anti-codon, which is responsible for specific mRNA codon recognition, and the 3' end, to which the tRNAs corresponding amino acid is attached (by aminoacyl-tRNA synthetases). tRNAs cope with the degeneracy of the genetic code in two manners: having more than one tRNA (with a specific anti-codon) for a particular amino acid; and 'wobble' base-pairing, i.e. permitting non-standard base-pairing at the 3rd anti-codon position.
Source: Rfam by way of RNAcentral